UUGCUUGCAAGAAAUAUGAGAGCGGCAGACGAGUGAGUAACACGUUGGAAUCUGCCCCUAAGUGAGGGAUAGCUCCGGGAAACCGGAAUUAAUACCGCAUAUGCCCUACGGGGUAAAGCAGCAAUGCGCUUAGGGAGGAGCCUGCGGUCUAUCAGCUAGUUGGUAAGGUAAUGGCUUACCAAGGCUACGACGGAUAACUGGUGUGAGAGCACGACCAGUCACGAUGGAACUGAGACACGGUCCAUACUCC
Molecule: ribosomal RNA, 250 nt
Filed under: uncultured bacterium
Lineage: Bacteria
Description: partial 16S ribosomal RNA
Rfam family: Bacterial small subunit ribosomal RNA
Source: RNAcentral